UACCAGCACCCCGAGUGGUCGGGACGUUUAUUGGGCCUAAAGCAUCCGUAGCCGGUUCUACAAGUCUUCCGUUAAAUCCACCUGCUUAACAGAUGGGCUGCGGAAGAUACUAUGGAGCUAGGAGGCGGGAGAGGCAAGCGGUACUCGAUGGGUAGGGGUAAAAAUCCGUUGAUCCAUUGAAGACCACCAGUGGCGAAGGCGGCUUGCCAGAACGCGCUCGACGGUGAGGGAUGAAAGCUGGGGGAGCAA
RNAcentral lists this ribosomal RNA (249 nucleotides) under uncultured bacterium. Its description in RNAcentral is "partial 16S ribosomal RNA". It matches the Rfam family "Archaeal small subunit ribosomal RNA", at positions 474 to 722 of the family's 1478-position model. The record is from RNAcentral.